AUGAUGGUAGCGGGAGAGAUUACCGGGCUUUACAGGUAACGCCGAAGGAGUAAGCCCUUACGGGUGAAUCUCUCAGGCAAAAGGACCUUUACCGGACG
Molecule: non-coding RNA, 98 nt
Filed under: Paenibacillus sp.
Lineage: Bacteria; Bacillati; Bacillota; Bacilli; Caryophanales; Paenibacillaceae
Description: Glycine sequence
Rfam family: Glycine riboswitch aptamer
About the family: This family represents the bacterial glycine riboswitch. Glycine riboswitches usually consist of two metabolite-binding aptamers domains with similar structures in tandem. The aptamers cooperatively bind glycine to regulate the expression of downstream genes.
Source: RNAcentral